Molecule: ribosomal RNA, 438 nt
Filed under: uncultured bacterium
Lineage: Bacteria
Description: partial 16S ribosomal RNA
Rfam family: Bacterial small subunit ribosomal RNA
Source: RNAcentral
CUACGGGGGGCUGCAGUGGGGAAUAUUGCACAAUGGACGAAAGUCUGAUGCAGCAACGCCGCGUGGAGGAUGACACUUUUCGGAGCGUAAACUCCUUUUAUAUAGGAAGAUGAUGACGGUACUAUAUGAAUAAGCACCGGCUAACUCCGUGCCAGCAGCCGCGGUAAUACGGAGGUGCAAGCGUUACUCGGAAUCACUGGGCGUAAAGAGCGUGUAGGCGGGUUAAUAAGUCAGAAGUGAAAUCCAAUAGCUCAACUAUUGAACUGCUUUUGAAACUGUUAACCUAGAAUAUGGGAGAGGUAGAUGGAAUUUCUGGUGUAGGGGUAAAAUCCGUAGAGAUCAGAAGGAAUACCGAUUGCGAAGGCGAUCUACUGGAACAUUAUUGACGCUGAGACGCGAAAGCGUGGGGAGCAAACAGGAUUAGAUACCCCCGUAGUC